AGGAUUAUAGUUUAAAUUAAACAUUUAAUUUGCACUUAAAAAAAAUUAAUUAAUAAUUAAUUAAUCUUA
Molecule: transfer RNA, 69 nt
Filed under: Setodes iuppiter
Lineage: Eukaryota; Metazoa; Arthropoda; Insecta; Trichoptera; Leptoceridae
Description: tRNA-Ala
Source: RNAcentral